AAGCCCUUAGUUUAAUAAAACUAUCUGAUUUGCAAUCAGGAAAUGCCAAGUUAAUUUCUUGUAGGUCUUA
This 70-nucleotide transfer RNA is filed under the name Labeo calbasu (orange-fin labeo). RNAcentral describes it as "tRNA-Ala". It matches the Rfam family "tRNA". Rfam says of the family: Transfer RNA (tRNA) molecules are approximately 80 nucleotides in length. Lineage: Eukaryota; Metazoa; Chordata; Actinopteri; Cypriniformes; Cyprinidae. The record is from RNAcentral.